GACAGAGGUGCCAAGCGUUAGGCGGAAUCACUGGGCUUAAAGCGUGUGUAGGCGGAAUUGUAAGUACCUUGUGAAAUCCCACGGCUCAACCGUGGAACUGCUUGGUAUACUGCUUUUCUUGAGCCACUUAGGGGCUACCGGAACAAAUGGUGGAGCGGUGAAAUGCGUAGAUAUCAUUUGGAACGCCAAUGGUGAAAACAGGUAGCUGGGAGUGUGCUGACGCUGAGACACGAAGGUCAGGGGAGCAAACGGG
Molecule: ribosomal RNA, 253 nt
Filed under: uncultured bacterium
Lineage: Bacteria
Description: partial 16S ribosomal RNA
Rfam family: Bacterial small subunit ribosomal RNA
Source: RNAcentral